ACUAAUCCUUCUUCAAGUUUUCAAAAUGAUCCGAUAUAAUCCUACUAUUCGCUUACUAAUAAACAGUGUUAGCUUUUUAUUUUAACAGACGAAAAUAUCUUUUGCUCAUAUUGGAUGGAUCACCGACAGAAAAGAAAUAGAGUGGGAGGUAGUUGCCAUAAAGAGGAAAGGUGGAACCAUACAAGGUCGGCAUUGAAGGGAAAGAUAGCAUCAAAAGCAUCAUAGACAGGAUUGGAGGAGGAGGAG
Molecule: long non-coding RNA, 246 nt
Filed under: Elaeis guineensis (African oil palm)
Lineage: Eukaryota; Viridiplantae; Streptophyta; Magnoliopsida; Arecales; Arecaceae
Description: long non-coding RNA (EGUI_LNC002896)
Source: RNAcentral